AGCGAACGCUGGCGGCGUGCCUAACACAUGCAAGUCGAACGUGAAAAGGGAAACCUGAGUAAAGUGGCGUACGGGUGAGUAACGCGUAGGUAAUCUACCCCAGAUUCUGGAAUAACCUGCCGAAAGGCGGGCUAAUACUGGAUAGAGCGAGGGAACUCGUAAGAGAGUUUUUCGGGAAAGGGAGCCCGCAAGGGCCUUCGUUCUGGGAUGAGCCUGCGUCUCAUUAGCUAGUUGGUAAGGUAACGGCUUACCAAGGCGAUGAUGAGUAGCUGGUCUGAGAGGAUGAUCAGCCAGACUGGAACUGAAACACGGUCCAGAGUCCUACGGGAGGCAGCAGUGGGGAAUCUUGAGCAAUGGACGAAAGUCUGACGCAGCCACGCCGCGUGAGUGAAGAAGGCCUUCGGGUUGUAAAGCUCUGUCGGAUGGGACGAACAUCUUCAUAGUGAAUAGCUAUGAGGACUGACGGUACCAUCAAAGGAAGCACCGGCUAACUCCGUG
This 498-nucleotide ribosomal RNA is filed under the name uncultured bacterium. Its description in RNAcentral is "partial 16S ribosomal RNA". It matches the Rfam family "Bacterial small subunit ribosomal RNA", at positions 29 to 507 of the family's 1533-position model. The record is from RNAcentral.